UCCGAUGGGAGCGAAGACCUCUUCACAUCAUGGGAUCCUUCACAACCAAACAAUGUGGAUGGCAUUCAGUACUGUGUGUGCACAUCUCCGAAAGGAUACUGGAGCGACUGGUGGUGUACAGAUAAAUUACCAUUUCUGUGCUACACUGCGAAAAAGAGACAGAUGGUGAGACUGGAGGUAAAAUCAAGCCAAAAUGUGAAUGAUCCUGCAGUGAAGAGUAAGAUUUUGGCAAAGUUUGAGCAGACACUGAAGGAAAAUGGUCUGACAGAUGCCAAGCCCUCGUGGAAGGAGUCUUCUGGAGAAAACGUCUUUCACAAGAUGUGGUAUCAGAAGAGUGAUGCUUUUAAUGUGUCCUGCAGGAGAACCACGAACUGAGCGUCUCAUAAUAGCUUCGGUGUAGUAUAGCAGUCUCAGACAUCUGUAAUGUGCACUUCUGUACUAUUAGGC
Carassius carassius (crucian carp) is the source of this 447-nucleotide long non-coding RNA. RefSeq lists it as uncharacterized. Lineage: Eukaryota; Metazoa; Chordata; Actinopteri; Cypriniformes; Cyprinidae. The transcript has 3 exons. The record is from RefSeq and is a predicted model, not a curated record.